GACAGAGGGUGCAAACGUUGUUCGGAAUUACUGGGCGUAAAGCGUGUGUAGGCGGUCUCUUAAGUCGAAUGUGAAAGCCCCCGGCUCAACUGGGGAGGGUCAUUCGAUACUGUUCGACUCGAAGGCAGGAGAGGGAAGUGGAAUUCCCGGUGUAGUGGUGAAAUGCGUAGAUAUCGGGAGGAACACCAGUGGCGAAGGCGACUUCCUGGCCUGUUCUUGACGCUGAGGCGCGAAAGCUAGGGGAGCAAACGGG
This 253-nucleotide ribosomal RNA is filed under the name uncultured bacterium. RNAcentral's name for it is "partial 16S ribosomal RNA". It matches the Rfam family "Bacterial small subunit ribosomal RNA", at positions 524 to 776 of the family's 1533-position model. The record is from RNAcentral.